This is a long non-coding RNA of Lutzomyia longipalpis, 445 nucleotides long. RefSeq lists it as uncharacterized. The transcript is spliced from 4 exons. The record is from RefSeq and is a predicted model, not a curated record. NCBI's taxonomy places the organism in Eukaryota, Metazoa, Arthropoda, Insecta, Diptera, Psychodidae.
UUAGAACUUUUCUUAGUUUUGACUGUGGCGUAAAAAUGGUGCAGUUUUGUAGGCAGUUGGGCAAAGUGGCACUAACUUUAGCUUACGUUUUUAUAUCAGGAACUAUACCAACAUCUUUUGCUAUUCCUUUAAGCGUGGUCAUUGAUUUAAAUUCUGGUAUCCUUGGUGGUCUACUAUCUACUAUUAAGUCUGUCGUGGAUAAUAUACUUUAUAACUCAGAAGAAGCUGAUGAAACUCUUUCUAUAAGUUUCCAGACAGAUCAAGUAGAAGGUUCCAUUGCUGGGUAUGAAGGCAAUACUGAAAAAUUUACGUACAAUUGGGCUCUUAUUUUGGCAGCUUUAAUAAUAAAUUGUUACAACUUUUUAAUGUAAAGAUAUUAAGAUUCAAUUACCUCAGCAUAAAUUGAGAGGACCUUUAUGUUUCAAAUAAAUGAAAUCUGAGGUAA